UGGGGAAUAUUGCACAAUGGGCGGAAGCCUGAUGCAGCGACGCCGCGUGAGGGAUGACGGCCUUCGGGUUGUAAACCUCUUUCAGUAGGGACGAAGCGUAAGUGACGGUACCUACAGAAGAAGCAACGGCUAAAUACGUGCCAGCAGCCGCGGUAAUACGUAUGUUGCGAGCGUUAUCCGGAAUUAUUGGGCUUAAAGGGCAUCUAGGCGGUAAGACAAGUUGAAGGUGAAAACCUGUGGCUCAACCAUAGGCUUGCCUACAAAACUGUUGAACUAGAGUACUGGAAAGGUGGGUGGAACUACACGAGUAGAGGUGAAAUUCGUAGAUAUGUGUAGGAAUGCCGAUGAUGAAGAUAACUCACUGGACAGAAACUGACGCUGAAGUGCGAAAGCUAGGGGAGCAAACAGG
This 409-nucleotide ribosomal RNA is filed under the name Verrucomicrobiota bacterium. Its description in RNAcentral is "Verrucomicrobia bacterium partial 16S ribosomal RNA". It matches the Rfam family "Bacterial small subunit ribosomal RNA", at positions 355 to 776 of the family's 1533-position model. The record is from RNAcentral. Lineage: Bacteria; Pseudomonadati; Verrucomicrobiota.